This 244-nucleotide long non-coding RNA is filed under the name Homo sapiens (human). Its description in RNAcentral is "HSALNT0081843". Lineage: Eukaryota; Metazoa; Chordata; Mammalia; Primates; Hominidae. The record is from RNAcentral.
AUACGUGAACAGAUAUGGGCUAGGGAAACAUAAAAAUUAAAUAACUUGAGUGGGUCAAUAAAAAGGUUAUUCUGUUUCUUUCAGGGUUUUUGAGGAUUAUAAUGAAUAAAACAGAACCAGAGAAGUUACGAAGCAUGUGUUUAUCACUCAGCAAUAGAGAAUUUUAAACAGAUCUUCAGGCUCGUGUGGAAAAACCGAUAAAAUAGAAAAAGCAAUCGGAAGAAUAUAAAAAUCACUGAUAAUC